UACGGAGGAUGCGAGCGUUAUCCGGAUUUAUUGGGUUUAAAGGGUGCGUAGGCGGAUCGUUAAGUCAGUGGUCAAAUUGAGGGGCUCAACCCCUUCCCGCCAUUGAAACUGGCGAUCUUGAGUGGAAGAGAAGUAUGCGGAAUGCGUGGUGUAGCGGUGAAAUGCAUAGAUAUCACGCAGAACCCCGAUUGCGAAGGCAGCAUGCCGGCUUCCUACUGACGUUGAAGCACGAAAGCGUGGGGAUCGAACAGG
Molecule: ribosomal RNA, 252 nt
Filed under: uncultured bacterium
Lineage: Bacteria
Description: partial 16S ribosomal RNA
Rfam family: Bacterial small subunit ribosomal RNA
Source: RNAcentral